Uloborus diversus is the source of this 155-nucleotide long non-coding RNA. RefSeq lists it as uncharacterized. Lineage: Eukaryota; Metazoa; Arthropoda; Arachnida; Araneae; Uloboridae. The record is from RefSeq and is a predicted model, not a curated record. The transcript is spliced from 3 exons.
UAAACAGCAAUGGCGCGAAUUAAAAGAUCUGCGAAAGAUUUAUGGUCUCUUGUAACUAGUUCGCCUGUUUUGAAUUCCAAGGAUCUUAUAUUAUAUGAACUGGAAGAAAACAGUGACCGUAUUUUAAAUGGAAUUUUGUUCAUAUCUAAGUUCAA